GUGAUUUUCAUGAAAUGUUCGUCUUCAUCACCUCUGGGUGUGGGUAGUAUUGAGAGUAUCAUGAAAUGCACCAGAGACGGUGAGCAGUUCAGAAAGCUGGAACCACUGCUUUAUUGAGAGCAGGCCCUUGCUGUAUGUGCAAACUCAAGCCUAUUCAAUGAUUAGAUCUCGUAAUCAGGAAAACCUAAGAGAAAAGGGAACUUUAGAAGGUCAUGAUGCUCCGGUUCUCAUCAUUACACGGCCACUCUGCACACAUCCAUGUCUUUAUCCGAGUUGACCAUAUGCACCUGAUGUGGGCUUUGCAACAGAGAAGUGAAUAGGAACCACUGUAGUGUGUAAGGGUGUGCAUGCCACAGGGUACGUAGGCGAUUUCUUUUGGGUUUGUUAUUCUUAUAUCAGGAAAAUAUACCCAGCAUGUUCAGAUGGUGACGGAAGAGGGGAAUGAACAGUUGAAGUUUAGGAAAUGCCAAAAUAUCAAGUUAGAGGAGUCAAGGAAAUUGGAGUCACAUGCCAGGAAUUGUGUCCCCUCCACCAUAAUAGAGAGGCUGUAGCUCCUCUUUCUCCCUUCAUAGACUCUCUGGGACAUUCCUGGCCACAGAAUUCCAGAGGAAUUCAAUUUUCUCUUUUUUUUCUUUCCCACUGAGCACCCACCACAAGAGUCUUGGCUGCCUCGUGUUCUGCUCCUCUGCUUUCCGAGGGUUCAUGGAGAAGGUCCUCUCAGAGUUCCUGACCACAGAUGCCGCCUCAACAUCCCAUGAGGUUUUAAAAAAAAAAAUCAUCAGGACAAUGGAGCCCUUCCCUAUUUUAUUUUUCAAUAGAUCUGAAUGGGACAGUUACCCAGGAUAACCAUUUCACUCUGUCAGUCUCUGCCAGAAAUUCUAGACAGAAAUACACCAGCUUCAAAGGACCUAGGUGCCACUCCCCAGAGGAAGCUCUGGCCAGCCUGUCCAACCGCCUUACACCACAGGGCAAGCAGGUCCAGUUGGACAAUUGUGCACAUAUGGGGACUCACAAAUGUCCACCCUGGGAAAAUACCCUAUUUGUUAGGAAACUUAUUCCACAUAUCUUUGUCUUGCUGGCACUGGGGGGGAAGUCACGCUGUGCAUAUUGUAAGCCAGUAACAGCAACACAUCCGCAUCUAGCCCCGUGAUAUAUGGUAUAAUUAGAAUUGCAAUGCACCUGAUAGAACCUGAAAUGUUGUCGAGUCUGUAGGAUAACAAAACAAGUGAAGAAUCAUUCAUACAUCGUCAUGUAAAAAAAUAAACUUUCUACCUGUGCCAAUGUCGCUAACUGUGAUGGUUAGCUUCAUGUGUUGGCGUAGCUAAAAAUCCAGUUAUUUAAACAAACACAGGUCCAGGUAUUGAUGGGAAAUUAUUUUGUAGGCACGGUUAACUUUUACAGCCAGUUGAUUCUAAGCAAUGGAAAUGACUAUGGAUAAUGUGAGCAGAUCUCAUCCAAUCAGAUGAAAGCCCUUCAAGCAAAAAAAAAAAAAAAAAAAUCCCUGAAGUUUCCUGGAGAAGAAUUUUCCAUGAGACCAACAUCAAUUGCUACUUGAAUCCACAGCCUUCCAGGGCCAUCCUAUGAAGUUCAAGCUUGCCGGCACCCACCUUUGCAUGAAACAAUUCCUUAAACUAAAUCUCUUAAUGGUCUUAAUGCUAUACAUGCAUAUCCUAUUGGUGCUGUUUCUCUGGAUAGCCUUGAAUGUUAUGCUGCAUCUCGCUAAAAAUAAUUCAGGAUCUCAUAGAUGCAAGUCAGACCUGACUGACGGGCUUGUUGCUGCCAAAGAAAAGCAGUCCUAUUCACCUCACUCUUAGACCUGGUCCUCCAAGUAGAGAUCUGCAGUGCUCACACUCAACUCCAGGUGGCGCUCUUGUUCUACGGGAAAGAGUCAGGCUCUAUGGUUGCUGGACACACCCCAGCCUCGUUCCCUGAUUUCUAGGCCUUUCAAUGACUCAGCAAUGGGAGAGAGGAAGUACAAAAUUAAGACAGCAGAAACUCCCAGCGUGCCCAAUGUACAGAAGCUAACCAAC
RNAcentral lists this long non-coding RNA (2030 nucleotides) under Marmota monax (woodchuck). The record is from RNAcentral. Lineage: Eukaryota; Metazoa; Chordata; Mammalia; Rodentia; Sciuridae.